Molecule: ribosomal RNA, 254 nt
Filed under: uncultured bacterium
Lineage: Bacteria
Description: partial 16S ribosomal RNA
Rfam family: Bacterial small subunit ribosomal RNA
Source: RNAcentral
GACGUAGGUCGCGAACGUUAUCCGGAAUUAUUGGGCGUAAAGGGUGCGUAGAUGGCUCAGUAAGUUAGCGGUGGUAAAUCGAGGCCUAACCUCGUGGAAGCCGGUAAUACUAUUAGGCUUGAGUGCAGGAGAGGUUAAUGGAACUCCAUGUGGAGCGGUAAAAUGUGUAGAUAUAUGGAAGAACACCAAUCGGCGAAGGCAUUUAACUAUUCUGCUACUGACAUUGAGGCACGAAAGCGUGGGGAGCAAAACGG